UAACAUUUCUAGCUUGCUAGAAGAUGACGAGCGGCGGACGGGUGAGUAAUGCUUGGGAAUAUGCCUUUGAGUGGGGGACAACAGUUGGAAACGACUGCUAAUACCGCAUAACGUCUACGGACCAAAGGGGGGGAUCUUCGGACCUCUCGCUCAUUGAUUAGCCCAAGUGAGAUUAGCUAGUUGGUAAGGUAAUGGCUUACCAAGGCGACGAUCUCUAGCUGGUUUGAGAGGAUGAUCAGCCACACUGGGACUGAGACACGGCCCAGACUCCUACGGGAGGCAGCAGUGGGGAAUAUUGCACAAUGAGCGAAAGCCUGAUGCAGCCAUGCCGCGUGUGUGAAGAAGGCCUUCGGGUUGUAAAGCACUUUCAGUUGUGAGGAAAGGGGUGUAGUUAAUAGCUGCAUUCUGUGACGUUAACAACAGAAGAAGCACCGGCUAACUUCGUGCCAGCAGCCGCGGU
Molecule: ribosomal RNA, 460 nt
Filed under: uncultured Gammaproteobacteria bacterium
Lineage: Bacteria; Pseudomonadati; Pseudomonadota; Gammaproteobacteria
Description: bacterial SSU rRNA
Rfam family: Bacterial small subunit ribosomal RNA
Source: RNAcentral